CCGAGUUUACAACUCCCAAACCCCUGUGAACAUACCACUUGUUGCCUCGGCGGAUCAGCCCGCUCCCGGUAAAACGGGACGGCCCGCCAGAGGACCCCUAAACUCUGUCUCUAUAUGUAACUUCUGAGUAAAACCAUAAAUAAAUCA
RNAcentral lists this unclassified non-coding RNA (147 nucleotides) under soil metagenome. Its description in RNAcentral is "partial internal transcribed spacer 1". The record is from RNAcentral.